AUAAAACACAAAAACAAACAAAAUCUAGCAGAGGGUGGGGUUUCUUCUGGUGAUGUUCGCCUUUUCCUUAAGUAAAAACAUGAUUUAAAAAUGAAAAUCGGUGAGCUUUUUGAGCUAUGCUUACAUGAUGUUCAUUCUGGUUAGUUGAUAUUCUAUUCUUCAAUUUGGGAAUUAUUCGGAGGAAAUAGAUUUUCACUCAAUUGAUCAAGGUAGUGCUUAUUAGUUGGUGGGUUUGUGAAGCAAGAUUUGAGGUGUGUUGGUAAAAUUGUAUGGGAAAGACAACGAAGGGAUCAAGUAAAAUUGUUGUUGGUGCACAGGAAUCAGCUUCUUCUCGUCGUAUGCCACCAAGAUCUGCAUUUCAAGAUAUACGCCAGCAAUCAUCUGCUGGUACUUCGUCGCCUGCUCCUGGUUAUGGAAGUGAUAGUACAUAUGAGGCAUCUGAGCUUGGAACACCGGGCCAAGUAUGGGAACACAGCUCUGAAAUCGGUACAAUGGAUCUUGACCUUGAUCAAGAUUUGGCCUCCUUGAUAGAAACACUUACAUUUAGCAUGUUUAGUUAUGAUUACGGUUUUUUUACGGGAAGAAAUAUGCUAGAGAAGCCAAAGGGUUUCCAAGGCAUAACUCAAUGCAACCAAGAAAGUGCUCUUGUUAAAGAUGUAACUGAUGUUUCCAAGCUUGAAUCUUUUUAGGAUGGACUGUCUUUCUGAACAUGAGUAUGGUAGGUUGUCCAGUCAUGGCAUGCAGGAAACAUUAUACGGAGAGUGUUGGAAGUGACAUGAGUUCCAUUAGAGUUUGUGAAAUAUCCAAUACUGGGAUUCACUUGGUGAUGGUUUCCUUGAAUUCGUUGGAAGUGCAGAAGCCUUAACAACAGAAAUGGAGUUCCCAGAUACACAAACUGUUCUUUCAUUAGAUCCGCGCCAGAAAAUGAAUAGAGUUCUUCUCACUAUGCAAGGGAAUUGGGUACUGCAAGAAGCCUAGAACGGACAUGGAGGAUCUUCUUAUAAGACUAAAUCAAGAAAUUGCAAUGAAGAACUUUCUUACAACCAAGUAUGGCACAAGAAAAUGGUCCACGCAGCUGGUGCUGGCAUCAUGUGCCAACCUUUGCACCAUACAAAAGUUGAAGGGGUGUUUCUUCCGUUGAUUAUUGCCUGUAUCAGGACAGGCCAAAAUGUUUAAACCGCUGCAAUUGUACUUACUUCAGAGUUCGAAACCAAAUGCGCAGAGCGUGUUUAAGGUUCUUGCGCUCGGAUGAAGACGGAAUGGUGUGAACAUUUUCUAGUUAGCCGCCAAAUGGCGCUGCAUUCCCACUUGGCGGAGUGAAGAUUAAGACUAGAAGACACUCCGAUUGGCAGGAUUGUGUUUACAUUCUGAAGCAAUUACGCAGCUGUUGGCUGGAGGAGAUUGGCUGAGUUUGUUAUCUGUAAUGGUGGUAGACUGUUACACUGGAUUGUGUAUAUAAUCUCAAGUUUUCACAUUUAGACUUGGUAAACAUGUUUGGAAGCUAGAAUUUGCAAGAUUCAUGUUGGGCCUUGGCUUCUCUAGUCUAAAUUAGACACUUAGAAUUUCCUUCUCCAAUGUAUCCCCUUUUAUAGCUAAAUUCCCACUUUCCUUCUCAAUGUAUCAAGUGCUGGGAAAGCUAGCUAAUGGAUUUCAAAAAUGAUAAAAAUUACAGAACUGAAGCAAUCAAAAUCUCUAGUGUGUAUGAUUAA
RNA transcript from Papaver somniferum (opium poppy), 1709 nucleotides. It is a transcript of the gene named PX domain-containing protein EREL1-like, with no coding region annotated. The transcript is spliced from 4 exons. NCBI's taxonomy places the organism in Eukaryota, Viridiplantae, Streptophyta, Magnoliopsida, Ranunculales, Papaveraceae. The record is from RefSeq and is a predicted model, not a curated record.